UACGGAGGGCGCGAGCGUUAAUCGGAAUUACUGGGCGUAAAGCGCGCGUAGGCUGUUGUGUAAGUUGGGGGUGAAAUCCCACGGCCCAACCGUGGAACUGCCUUUGAAACUGUAGAGCUUGAGUGUCGGAGAGGGUGGCGGAAUUCCAGGUGUAGGAGUGAAAUCCGUAGAUAUCUGGAGGAACACCGGUGGCGAAGGCGGCCACCUGGACGACAACUGACGCUGAGGUGCGAAAGCGUGGGUAGCAAACAGG
This 253-nucleotide ribosomal RNA is filed under the name uncultured Bilophila sp. RNAcentral's name for it is "partial 16S ribosomal RNA". It matches the Rfam family "Bacterial small subunit ribosomal RNA", at positions 524 to 776 of the family's 1533-position model. Lineage: Bacteria; Pseudomonadati; Thermodesulfobacteriota; Desulfovibrionia; Desulfovibrionales; Desulfovibrionaceae. The record is from RNAcentral.